GUGGCGGCCCCUUUUCAAAUUAGAGAUCCAUGGACCUGAUGGAUAACCCACCCCAAUCUUACUACACUUAGUUCUCUCAUCCUCCAUAUCGCCGACUGAAAAGAAAAGCAUAAAUUUUUAUUUUGUCAGUUUUAAGCUGUUAAGUCAGGUAAAGAUGAAGAUUAUGGUAUUGAAAGUUUGUGGAUCAAAAAUCUUGAUGAAUCAAUUUGUUGAUAUACAAAAUAAAUGAAUUUAAAAGUAAGGUUAUUUUAUUAAAAUAGCUUGAAUAUUGUAAAAAGGAGUGUACACAUCGCCCGUCGCUCUAA
Molecule: ribosomal RNA, 305 nt
Filed under: Liposcelis bostrychophila
Lineage: Eukaryota; Metazoa; Arthropoda; Insecta; Psocodea; Liposcelididae
Description: partial 12S ribosomal RNA
Source: RNAcentral